CGGGGUGUAGCGCAGCCUGGUAGCGUAACGUCCUGGGGGGGCGGGGGUCGCUGGUUCGAAUCCAGUCACCCCGACCA
Molecule: transfer RNA, 77 nt
Filed under: Halobacteriovoraceae bacterium
Lineage: Bacteria; Pseudomonadati; Bdellovibrionota; Bacteriovoracia; Bacteriovoracales; Halobacteriovoraceae
Description: tRNA-Pro
Rfam family: tRNA
About the family: Transfer RNA (tRNA) molecules are approximately 80 nucleotides in length.
Source: RNAcentral